Molecule: ribosomal RNA, 468 nt
Filed under: uncultured bacterium
Lineage: Bacteria
Description: partial 16S ribosomal RNA
Rfam family: Bacterial small subunit ribosomal RNA
Source: RNAcentral
GACGAACGCUGGCGGCGUGCUUAACACAUGCAAGUCGAACGGAAAGGCCCUGCUUUUGUGGGGUGCUCGAGUGGCGAACGGGUGAGUAACACGUGAGUAACCUGCCCUUGACUUUGGGAUAACUUCAGGAAACUGGGGCUAAUACCGGAUAGGAGCUCCUGCUGCAUGGUGGGGGUUGGAAAGUUUCGGCGGUUGGGGAUGGACUCGCGGCUAAUCAGCUUGUUGGUGGGGUAGUGGCUUACCAAGGCUUUGACGGGUAGCCGGCCUGAGAGGGUGACCGGCCACAUUGGGACUGAGAUACGGACCAGACUCCUACGGGAGGCAGCAGUGGGGAAUAUUGCACAAUGGGCGGAAGCCUGAUGCAGCAACGCCGCGUGCGGGAUGACGGCCCUCGGGUUGUAAACCGCUUUCGCCUGUGACGAAGCGUGAGUGACGGUAAUGGGUAAAGAAGCACCGGCUAACUACGUG